AACGAACGCUGGCGGCAUGCCUAACACAUGCAAGUCGAACGAGACCUUCGGGUCUAGUGGCGCACGGGUGCGUAACGCGUGGGAAUCUACCCUUAGGUUCGGAAUACCUCAGUGUAAUUUGACUUAAUACCGGUUGAUGACGUACGUCCAAAGAUGUAUCGCCUGAGGAUGAGCCCGUUUAGGAUUAGGUAGUUGGUGAGGUAAAGGCUCACCAAGCCGACGAUCCUUAGCUGGUCGGAGAGGAUGAUCAGCCAGACUGGAACUGAGACACGGCCCAGACUCGUACGGAAGGGAGGAGUAGGGAAUAGUGGAGAAUGAGGGCAGGUGCGAUAAAGCAACGAGGGGGGAGUGAUGAAGGGAGUAGGAAUGUAAAGAUAUUUUAAACGGGACGAGAAUGACAGUAACGGGAAAAUAAGCACCGGCUAACUACGUG
Molecule: ribosomal RNA, 433 nt
Filed under: uncultured bacterium
Lineage: Bacteria
Description: partial 16S ribosomal RNA
Rfam family: Bacterial small subunit ribosomal RNA
Source: RNAcentral